This 484-nucleotide ribosomal RNA is filed under the name uncultured bacterium. RNAcentral's name for it is "partial 16S ribosomal RNA". It matches the Rfam family "Bacterial small subunit ribosomal RNA", at positions 30 to 507 of the family's 1533-position model. The record is from RNAcentral.
AUUGAACGCUGGCGGAAUGCUUUACACAUGCAAGUCGAACGGCAGCACGGGGGCAGCCCUGGUGGCGAGUGGCGAACGGGUGAGUAAUACAUCGCAACGUGCCCGGUCGUGGGGGAUAACGUAGCGAAAGUUACGCUAAUACCGCAUACGAUCUGAGGAUGAAAGCGGGGGACCUUCGGGCCUCGCGCGAUCGGAGCGGCCGAUGUCAGAUUAGGUAGUUGGUGGGGUAAAGGCCUACCAAGCCGACGAUCUGUAGCUGGUCUGAGAGGACGACCAGCCACACUGGGACUGAGACACGGCCCAGACUCCUACGGGAGGCAGCAGUGGGGAAUUUUGGACAAUGGGCGCAAGCCUGAUCCAGCCAUUCCGCGUGCAGGACGAAGGCCUUCGGGUUGUAAACUGCUUUUGUACGGAACGAAAAGGCUCUGGCUAAUACCUGGGGCUCAUGACGGUACCGUAAGAAUAAGCACCGGCUAACUACGUG